CCGGCGCACGGGUGAGUAACACGUAUCCAACCUGCCGUCUACUCUUGGCCAGCCUUCUGAAAGGAAGAUUAAUCCAGGAUGGCAUCAUGAGUUCACAUGUCCGCAUGAUUAAAGGUAUUUUCCGGUAGACGAUGGGGAUGCGUUCCAUUAGAUAGUAGGCGGGGUAACGGCCCACCUAGUCAACGAUGGAUAGGGGUUCUGAGAGGAAGGUCCCCCACAUUGGAACUGAGACACGGUCCAA
RNAcentral lists this ribosomal RNA (241 nucleotides) under uncultured bacterium. RNAcentral's name for it is "partial 16S ribosomal RNA". It matches the Rfam family "Bacterial small subunit ribosomal RNA", at positions 95 to 334 of the family's 1533-position model. The record is from RNAcentral.